This 253-nucleotide ribosomal RNA is filed under the name uncultured bacterium. RNAcentral describes it as "partial 16S ribosomal RNA". It matches the Rfam family "Bacterial small subunit ribosomal RNA", at positions 524 to 776 of the family's 1533-position model. The record is from RNAcentral.
UACGUAGGGUGCGAGCGUUGUCCGGAUUUAUUGGGUUUAAAGGGUGCGUAGGCGGAUCUUUAAGUCAGUGGUGAAAGCCUGCAGCUUAACUGUAGAACAGCCAUUGAAACUGAAGGUCUUGAAUUUGGUUAAAGUAGGCGGAAUGUAUCAUGUAGCGGUGAAAUGCUUAGAUAUGAUACAGAACACCGAUAGCGAAGGCAGCUUGCUGAACCAAUAUUGACGCUGAGGCACGAAAGCGUGGGGAGCAAACAGG